RNAcentral lists this unclassified non-coding RNA (1665 nucleotides) under Hevea brasiliensis (rubber tree). Lineage: Eukaryota; Viridiplantae; Streptophyta; Magnoliopsida; Malpighiales; Euphorbiaceae. The record is from RNAcentral.
AGAAAAGAAAGACCCAUAAACAGUCGAAGAAAAUUAACAGAGACGGAUUGAUGAUGUUGCAGAUGGAAGGCCUAAGUGAUGAAGAAAGGAAAGCUCUUAGGGGAAGCAAAUUCGCUCCUCUCCCUCCUCCCUCUUCUCGUUCCCACCAACCCAGGUUGGCUCACCCCGGUGGACCAUUGAAGACGAACAAGGCAGCGGCACUAGCCAAGUUUCUGGAGAGGAAACUUCAAGACCCUAAUGGGUUAACUUCCAUCAAUCCCAGCCUUAUUGAAUCAGCGGUCAAAAGCGCCAAGGACACCGUCUUUUCCAGUAAUCAUAUUCUUCCUUCUUUCUUUUUGUCUCUUAUUGAUUAAAAGGGUUUGAUUCAAUAGAAAAAAAAAUAAAAUAAAAUCAAGUCUUGCGAAUUUGGGUUUGGAUGUUUGCUCGGAUUUUAAUGAUCAAAAUUAAGUCUUGCGAAUCUGGGUUUCGAUGUUUGCUCGAAUUUCGAUUAAGUUAGGGCCCUGUCUUAGAAUACAUAUUCAUAUUCGAAACAUGACUCCUAGAUGAGUUAUUUUGAAAGCACUAUUGGAUUAAUUGCUUCUCUAUGUUGUUUUGAAGUUUUUAAACUAUAUUUAGCUAGCAAUUUAUCACUUUUAAUGUGUACCUGUUGAGUGUUUAAGUAGUAUUGUAGUAGUUGCUUAAACUCUUGAGAUUGUGUUUAUUAGUUGUGCAGAGAAUAUCUGCUGCUAAUAUUUUGCUUCGUUUCCUUUUUGUGGGAAAAUCCUUAUUUUACAUGAUGGCAAGUUCUCUCUACAUGUCUUUCAGAUCCACUUAAUGGUUUGAUUUGCUUGUCUAUAUAUGUUCAUGAGAUUUUGGAUCAUAGUAAAGAAACCAUCAAUGGAAGAGAGAGUUAUUUUACUUCGUUUCAUAUGUCAGGUGGCACUUCAAAAUCUGGAAGAAUUAUUCAUCAUGUUACUUCGUUUGGUGACUCUGAGGACUCUGCUGAAGAAGGGAAAGCAGAAAAUCCUUCGUUGAAGAAACAGAAGAAGAAAAAGAAAAAGAAAAAUAAAAAUAAACAUAAGAAGCGAAAGGUUUGUUGUUGAUGGGUUUAUUAGUUACUUCUAUUGUAUUGCAACACUUGAUUGAUAAGAAGCCUUUCUGCUGCAUGCUGCAGAUGGUGGAUGAUAGUGAGCAUGUGAAGUUGAAGAAACCCAAAACUAAGUUGAUCAAGUGAAGGAACAAAUUCUUGGUGGUGGUAAGCCAGAAUUAGUCUGUUCGACCACCUUAUAUCGAAAGAUUAUUUGUGGAUCAGCUUUUUCUCUACUUUUUCCCAAUUGUUGUUAGAAAACUCUUAUUUAAAACUUUUGGGGCCUUGCAAAGGUCGUGGAAGCUGUAGUUAUGGGAUAUUUUUAUAGAUCCCUUGAAGGAUAGCGAUUUUCUUUUAUUCAUUUGUGAGCUAAUUUGUUAAUUAUUAUAGGAAUUGAAAUUGCAUCUAUUACAUAGGCUUCUUGUGAAAACAUGUGCAAAUUAUCAUGAUGCAAUGUGAAUUUGUGUCCAAUCUCUUCUGCAUUGGAAAAUAGCAUCCAUUACAUGUAUCCGUUCCAAUUAUGCACAAUACAAAUUUCAAGCCUAGGUUGUCCAAGACUCCCAAGUCUCAUUUCAUGAUGCAGCAAUAAAUAGAGCGUG